CAGGUAGCCGCGGUAAUACAGAGGGUGCGAGCGUUAAUCGGAUUUACUGGGCGUAAAGCGUGCGUAGGCGGCUUCUUAAGUCGGAUGUGAAAUCCCUGAGCUUAACUUAGGAAUUGCAUUCGAUACUGGGAAGCUAGAGUAUGGGAGAGGAUGGUAGAAUUCCAGGUGUAGCGGUGAAAUGCGUAGAGAUCUGGAGGAAUACCGAUGGCGAAGGCAGCCAUCUGGCCUAAUACUGACGCUGAGGUACGAAAGCAUGGGGAGCAAACAGGAUUAGAUACCCCCGUAGUCCCUGUCUCUUAUA
Molecule: ribosomal RNA, 301 nt
Filed under: uncultured bacterium
Lineage: Bacteria
Description: partial 16S ribosomal RNA
Rfam family: Bacterial small subunit ribosomal RNA
Source: RNAcentral